UAAGGAAUAUUGGUCAAUGGACGCAAGUCUGAACCAGCCAUGCCGCGUGAAGGAUGAAGGUCCUCUGGAUUGUAAACUUCUUUUAUCUGGGACGAAAACAGGAUUUUUAUCUCAAUUGACGGUACCAGAGGAAUAAGCACCGGCUAACUCCGUGCCAGCAGCCGCGGUAAUACGGAGGGUGCGAGCGUUAUCCGGAUUUACUGGGUUUAAAGGGCGCGUAGGUGGGCUUAUAAGUCAGUGGUGAAAUCUCCGAGCUUAACUUGGAAACUGCCGUUGAUACUAUAGGUCUUGAAUUAUCUGGAGGUAAGCGGAAUAUGUCAUGUAGCGGUGAAAUGCUUAGAUAUGACAUAGAACACCAAUUGCGAAGGCAGCUUACUACAUAUAAAUUGACGCUGAGGCACGAAAGCGUGGGGAUCAAACA
This 421-nucleotide ribosomal RNA is filed under the name uncultured bacterium. Its description in RNAcentral is "bacterial SSU rRNA". It matches the Rfam family "Bacterial small subunit ribosomal RNA", at positions 355 to 774 of the family's 1533-position model. The record is from RNAcentral.